UGGGGAAUCUUGCACAAUGGGGGAAACCCUGAUGCAGCGACGCCGCGUGAGUGAUGAAGCCCUUCGGGGUGUAAAGCUCUUUCGACAGGAACGAUAAUGACGGUACCUGGAGAAGAAGCUGCGGCUAACUACGUGCCAGCAGCCGCGGUAAUACGUAGGCAGCAAACGUUGUUCGGAGUUACUGGGCGUAAAGAGUGCGUAGGCGGUUUGCCAAGUCUGGUGUGAAAUCUCCUGGCUUAACUGGGAGGGUGCGCCGGAUACUGGCAGGCUUGAGUGUGGGAGAGGGAUGUAGAAUUCCAGGUGUAGCGGUGAAAUGCGUAGAUAUCUGGAGGAAUACCGGUGGCGAAGGCGGCAUCCUGGACCAUUACUGACGCUGAGGUGCGAAAGCGUGGGUAGCGAACAGGAUUAGAUACCCAGGUAGUCCCUGAGCGGGCUGGCAAGGCGCAU
RNAcentral lists this ribosomal RNA (447 nucleotides) under uncultured bacterium. RNAcentral describes it as "bacterial SSU rRNA". It matches the Rfam family "Bacterial small subunit ribosomal RNA", at positions 355 to 825 of the family's 1533-position model. The record is from RNAcentral.